This 72-nucleotide transfer RNA is filed under the name Neotoma lepida (desert woodrat). It matches the Rfam family "tRNA". Rfam says of the family: Transfer RNA (tRNA) molecules are approximately 80 nucleotides in length. Lineage: Eukaryota; Metazoa; Chordata; Mammalia; Rodentia; Cricetidae. The record is from Rfam by way of RNAcentral.
GCAGAUGGCUCAAAGGUAAAAGUACUUGCUAUACAAGCAUGAGGGCCUGAGUUCAACUCUCUGGCACCUGCA